CCUACGGGAGGCAGCAGUGAGGAAUAUUGGUCAAUGGACGCAAGUCUGAACCAGCCAUGCCGCGUGCAGGAAGACGGCUCUAUGAGUUGUAAACUGCUUUUGUACGAGGGUAAACGCAGAUACGCGUAUCUGUCUGAAAGUAUCGUACGAAUAAGGAUCGGCUAACUCCGUGCCAGCAGCCGCGGUAAUACGGAGGAUUCAAGCGUUAUCCGGAUUUAUUGGGUUUAAAGGGUGCGUAGGCGGUCGGAUAAGUUAGAGGUGAAAUCCCGAGGCUCAACUUCGGAAUUGCCUCUGAUACUGUUCGGCGAGAGAGUAGUUGCGGUAGGCGGAAUGUAUGGUGUAGCGGUGAAAUGCUUAGAGAUCAUACAGAACACCGAGUGCGAAGGCAGCUUACCAAGCUACUUCUGACGUUGAGGCACGAAAGCGUGGGGAGCAAACAGGAUUAGAUACCCGGGUAGUC
RNAcentral lists this ribosomal RNA (460 nucleotides) under uncultured bacterium. RNAcentral's name for it is "partial 16S ribosomal RNA". It matches the Rfam family "Bacterial small subunit ribosomal RNA", at positions 338 to 795 of the family's 1533-position model. The record is from RNAcentral.